Molecule: non-coding RNA, 1502 nt
Organism: Oryctolagus cuniculus (rabbit)
Lineage: Eukaryota; Metazoa; Chordata; Mammalia; Lagomorpha; Leporidae
Source: RefSeq, a predicted model, not a curated record
CGGCGUAGUGUCCAUUUGGGGAGUGAACCAACGGAAGGAAGACCUUUCUCUCUGUCUCUCUCUCAUUGUCUAUAACUCUACCUGUCAAAUAAAAAAAAAAUCAGGUGGGACAAAAUUGUAAUACAAAGUAAUAAACAUUUAAGUCCUUAGCAAAAAUGCACUCAUUUAUUCAUUCUACAGGCUGUUGACCAAGGAUUCCAGUAGGGAGUGAGGAUAUGAAGAGAAAACAUGGGCCCAAGUCAAGGAGCUGGCACUCUAGUGUUGGGAGGUGCACAUGAAAUCAGCAUUCAGUGACCAAGGACUCACCACGCCAAACAGGAGUCGGGCUGUGGCUGGGACCAGGUGGCCAGGACGGUGGCGCUACACUGUUAUCAGCGCUCAGGCAGGCCGCACGUGCAGAUUUUCAGUUUAAUCCAUGUCGGCCUGAGGAGGCAAGCCUUAUCUCCUGUGCUUGGUGCAGGAAGCCAGCCAGAAGGUAACUAGCCUGGGGCGUCACACCCUGAGCCAGGGCAGAAGCCAGGAGGGUCAAAGCCUGUGUUCUGUCUAUUUUCCCUCUUCUCUGGCUGACUUAGAAGCUCUUUGUUUGGACAAGGAAAUGUGUUGUUUCCUGUUGGGAAGAUAUUCUAGGAGCCUUAUUCAUCUGGAAUAAAGCAAAAGCAAGCUGAUGACCUAGGGCUGGAGAGGCAGGGAGAAGACAGCAGCCACGCCUUCAGAAUGCAAGAGCAGUGCCAGCAGGCCCCUCAGAGCCUCAGGGCUGCGAUGCGAGGAGCAGGUGGCUGAGGCACCUGGCACAGAGGCUCUGGCGGAGGGAGGGGGGGUGCCUGAGGCUGAUCGGACAGAGCAUGCAAGUACAGAGCCAAUGCCACGGUUGAGGAAAUAAGAGGACUGGGAGCAUCACCUGGGAAAGGCCAGAGUAAAGAGUGGAUUGGGGCCGGCGCUGUGGCGCAGCGGGUUAAAGCGCUGGCCUGAAGCAUCAGCAUCCCAUAUGGGCGCCGGUUCUAGUCCUGGCUGUUCCUCGUCCGAUCCAGCUCUCUGCUAUGGCCUGGAAUAACAGUAGAAGAUGGCCCAAGUCCUUGGGCCCCUGCACCCAUGUGGGAGACCCGGAAGAAGCUCCUGGCUCCUGGCUUCAGAUCAGCACAGCUCUGCCAUUGCGGCCAUCUGGGGAGUGAACCAGCGGUUGGAAGGCCCCUCUCUCUCUCUCUCUCUCUCUCUCUCUCCUGCCUCUCUGUAACUCUUUCAAAUAAAUAAAAUCUUAAAAAAAAAAAAAUAGUGGAUUAUCAGAGCUGGUAUGUGGUGUAGUGGGUAAAGCCACUGCCUGUAUCCCAUACAGGUGCUGGUUCAAGACCUGGCUGCUCCUCUUCCGAUCUAGCUCUCUGGUAUGGCCUAGGAAAGCAGAGAAAGAUGGCCCAAGUGCUUGGGCCCCUGAACCCAGGUGGGAGACCCAGAAGAAGCUCUGGGCUUCUGGCUUUGGCCUGGCACAGCCCCAGCUGUUGAGGCCAUUU